AAUUCACUAGUGAUUACUCCUACGGGAGGCAGCAGUGGGGAAUUUUGGACAAUGGGGGCAACCCUGAUCCAGCAAUGCCGCGUGUGUGAAGAAGGCCUUCGGGUUGUAAAGCACUUUUGUCCGGAAAGAAAUCCCUUGCCCUAAUACGGCGGGGGGAUGACGGUACUGGAAGAAUAAGCACCGGCUAACUACGUGCCAGCAGCCGCGGUAAUACGUAGGGUGCAAGCGUUAAUCGGAAUUACUGGGCGUAAAGCGUGCGCAGGCGGUUCGCUAAGACAGAUGUGAAAUCCCCGGGCUUAACCUGGGAACUGCAUUUGUGACUGGCGGGCUAGAGUAUGGCAGAGGGGGGUAGAAUUCCACGUGUAGCAGUGAAAUGCGUAGAGAUGUGGAGGAAUACCGAUGGCGAAGGCAGCCCCCUGGGCCAAUACUGACGCUCAUGCACGAAAGCGUGGGGAGCAAACAGGAUUAGAUACCCUGGUAGUCCACGCCCUAAACAAUGUCAACUAGUUGUCGGGUCUUCAUUGACUUGGUAACGUAGCUAACGCGUGAAGUUGACCGCCUGGGGAGUACGGUCGCAAGAUUAAAACUCAAAGGAAUUGACGGGGACCCGCACAAGCGGUGGAGCAUGUGGA
Molecule: ribosomal RNA, 632 nt
Filed under: uncultured bacterium
Lineage: Bacteria
Description: bacterial SSU rRNA
Rfam family: Bacterial small subunit ribosomal RNA
Source: RNAcentral